ACGGAAGGCAGCAGCUAAGAAUAUUCCGCAAUGGACGAAAGUCUGACGGAGCGACGCCGCGUGGAUGAUGAAGGCCGGAAGGUUGUAAAAUCCUUUUAUAACUGAGGAAUAAGUCUGGUGAGAGAAACGCCGGAUGGUGACUGUAGGUUAUGAAUAAGCAACGGCUAAUUACGUGCCAGCAGCCGCGGUAACACGUAAGUUGCGAGCGUUGUUCGGAAUUAUUGGGCGUAAGGGCAUGUAGGCGGUUUUGCAAGCCUGGUGUGAAAUUCCGGGGCUCAACUCCGGAACUGCGUUGAGAGCUGCAUAACUAGAGUCACUGAGGGGCAAUCAGAAUUCCUGGUGUAGGGGUGAAAUCUGUAGAUAUCAGGAAGAAUACCAAUGGCGAAGGCAGGUUACCAGCAGAUGACUGACGCCGAGGUGCGAAGGUGCGGGGAGCAAACAGGAUUAGAUACCCUGGUA
RNAcentral lists this ribosomal RNA (459 nucleotides) under uncultured Treponema sp. Its description in RNAcentral is "partial 16S ribosomal RNA". It matches the Rfam family "Bacterial small subunit ribosomal RNA", at positions 341 to 792 of the family's 1533-position model. Lineage: Bacteria; Pseudomonadati; Spirochaetota; Spirochaetia; Treponematales; Treponemataceae. The record is from RNAcentral.